RNAcentral lists this signal recognition particle RNA (264 nucleotides) under Actinomycetota bacterium. RNAcentral describes it as "Actinobacteria bacterium signal recognition particle sRNA large type". It matches the Rfam family "Bacterial large signal recognition particle RNA". From Rfam's summary of the family: The signal recognition particle (SRP) is a universally conserved ribonucleoprotein involved in the co-translational targeting of proteins to membranes. The record is from RNAcentral. Lineage: Bacteria; Bacillati; Actinomycetota.
CCGUGCUAGGUGGGGAGGUAGCGGUGCCCUGCACCCGCAAUCCGCUAUAGCGGGACUGAAUUCCCACUCGAGGAGCGUGCUUGUAAGGUCUGAGGCCGGUAAGUAGCGUUGAGGGCCGGGUCCUGCGCAAUGAGAAUCUGUGAACCGGGUCAGGACCGGGAGGUAGCAGCCCUAAGCGGACACUCUCAUGUGCCGCAGGGCGGCCCGGCCGGAGCAGGCUGCCGGAGGGCGCUUGGAGGCCCGUAUUCGACGGUGGGUGCACGG